GACGAACGCUGGCGGCGUGCUUAACACAUGCAAGUCGAACGGAAAGGCCCUGCUUGCAGGGUGCUCGAGUGGCGAACGGGUGAGUAACACGUGGGUGAUCUGCCCCUUACUUUGGGAUAAGCCUGGGAAACUGGGUCUAAUACUGGAUAGGACCAUGCUGUAGGUGGUGUGGUGGAAAGAUUAGUUUCGGUAAGGGAUGAGCUCGCGGCCUAUCAGCUUGUUGGUGGGGUAAUGGCCUACCAAGGCGUCGACGGGUAGCCGGCCUGAGAGGGUGGACGGCCACAUUGGGACUGAGAUACGGCCCAGACGCCUACGGGAGGCAGCAGUGGGGAAUAUGGCACAAUGGGCGCAAGCCUGAUGCAGCGACGCCGCGUGGGGGAUGACGGCCUUCGGGUUGUAAGCUCCUUACGGCCUUGACGAAGCCCUUGUGGUGACGGUAGUGGUAGAAGAAGCACCGGCUAACUACGUG
This 469-nucleotide ribosomal RNA is filed under the name uncultured bacterium. RNAcentral describes it as "partial 16S ribosomal RNA". It matches the Rfam family "Bacterial small subunit ribosomal RNA", at positions 28 to 507 of the family's 1533-position model. The record is from RNAcentral.